UACGUAGGUGGCAAGCGUUGUCCGGAUUUAUUGGGCGUAAAGCGAGCGCAGGCGGAAGAAUAAGUCUGAUGUGAAAGCCCUCGGCUUAACCGAGGAACUGCAUCGGAAACUGUUUUUCUUGAGUGCAGAAGAGGAGAGUGGAAUUCCAUGUGUAGCGGUGGAAUGCGUAGAUAUAUGGAAGAACACCAGUGGCGAAGGCGACUCUCUGGUCUGCAACUGACGCUGAGGCUCGAAAGCAUGGGUAG
RNAcentral lists this ribosomal RNA (245 nucleotides) under uncultured Lactobacillus sp. Its description in RNAcentral is "partial 16S ribosomal RNA". It matches the Rfam family "Bacterial small subunit ribosomal RNA", at positions 524 to 768 of the family's 1533-position model. Lineage: Bacteria; Bacillati; Bacillota; Bacilli; Lactobacillales; Lactobacillaceae. The record is from RNAcentral.